This is a long non-coding RNA of Artibeus jamaicensis (Jamaican fruit-eating bat), 372 nucleotides long. RefSeq lists it as uncharacterized. The transcript has 2 exons. NCBI's taxonomy places the organism in Eukaryota, Metazoa, Chordata, Mammalia, Chiroptera, Phyllostomidae. The record is from RefSeq and is a predicted model, not a curated record.
AGUUCUUUGAGGGUAAAAUAAAACACGGGGCCUAAAAACCAGCAUGAAAAAGUAAAGGGGGCUUUCUAACACUGGAGUUAAGACAAUACUCUGGAGCCUUGCCGGGUGUGGUUUAUUUCGCCAAAUGUCUUUCAGGUCUUUUAUAUGAAAAAUAGCUUUCCCCUGUGCCCUCUUCAGUUCUUUGAGACUAAAAGAGAAAACGGCGGCUCGGAAAACGUGCCUUGGAAAAGUAAAGGAGCCUUUCUAACACUGCAGGUCUUUUAUAGGAAAAAUAGCCUUCCCCUGUGCCCUCUUCAGUUCUUUGAGACUCAAAGAGAAAACGGCGGCUCGGAAAACGUGCCUUGGAAAAGUAAAGGAGCCUUUCUCACACUG